AAAUAGUGCAAGCAGCCUUCGGUUAUGCCACCGAAUACAUUAGCAUGGGAUAAUGGAAUAGGACCCUGUCCUCCUCUUUUCAGUUGGUUAAUUUAUGUGCGAGGAUCAGGGUAAUGAUUAAUAGGGAUAGUUGGGGGCAUUAAUAUUUAAUUGUCAGAGGUGAAAUUCUUGGAUUUAUGAAAGAUUAACUUCUGCGAAAGCAUCUGCCAGGGAUGUUUUCAUUAAUCAAGAACGAAAGUUAGGGGAUCGAAGACGAUCAGAUACCGUCGUAGUCUUAACCAUAAACGAUGCCGACCAGCGAUUAGGAGACGUUGAAUACAAAACACCGCUAAAGAUAAUUCAUUAUAUGGCUUCACGGCUGUAUAGUGU
RNAcentral lists this ribosomal RNA (369 nucleotides) under Acanthamoeba sp. BRO7. RNAcentral describes it as "SSU rRNA". It matches the Rfam family "Eukaryotic small subunit ribosomal RNA", at positions 764 to 1106 of the family's 1831-position model. The record is from RNAcentral. Lineage: Eukaryota; Discosea; Longamoebia; Acanthamoebidae.